GUAUUGUUUCUGGUAUAUCUGCCGGAGUGAUGUUGCAAAUUAAAUGACGUUAUUUUCUUUCUCUCUUUUUCUCUGAAUUUUGUUUCCGUACAGGACACAAUCAAGCAAUGAAAGAUGGGAAAAGAGAGUCAAUAUUCAUUGACGGUGGGCACGGCGUAUCCGUCCAGCUCCCUGCCUGCACUCGGGAUCCUGGCGCAGCCUGUGUGGACGCCGGCCGGCCGGCCAGCGCUCUGAUCUGCCGUUAGCUGUGGUAACGAGUUAUGACUGUGACCUUCCUGACUGAAGUAAUGGUCUCUGCAAACGCAUAUGCACUUUGGAGCAGGAAAGGUGACAGCCAUAAAGAAAAUGAAAAGAAGUUGAAAGAAAAUGCCCUUUCCUCUGAAAAGAAAGCAGAAGAGUCUAGGCACCCAAAAGCCCUCCUGUUGGAACAUAAUCAGCUGAAAUAAGGUAAUUUUAAC
Molecule: long non-coding RNA, 458 nt
Filed under: Apteryx rowi (Okarito brown kiwi)
Lineage: Eukaryota; Metazoa; Chordata; Aves; Apterygiformes; Apterygidae
Description: lncRNA (ENSARWG00000009018.1)
Source: RNAcentral